AACACUUUAUAAAUGUAGCCGUCUUUCCCGCUGUUAAAUUAUAUGCUACAUUCAUAUUAAUGCUGCGGCAAAUUCAAACGCACGCUCUUUCUCUCUCUCUGUCUGUCUCUGGUUUUCUAGCUCUGUCUAGUAGGUGACCUGUUGUCAGUGCGUCGAGAGAGACCAUAUAAAUUUUAUAAUGAAGCAGCAGAGCGGGAAUCAAGACUUCGUCGGGACAGCAUUCUCGCACGGAGAAGUGCAAUUACACAACAGAGGCGCUUGUUGGUUUUCAGUUAUGGUAAAUAAUGUUGAUCACUCACAGAAUCAGACACUACCGCUUUUUAUACCACACUUCCCGUUAGGAAUUAUGAUAUUGUUUGGUUCGUUGGUCCGUUAACUGGGUCGGAUUGCUUUCACAUCUCAAGCGAACCGCUCCAGAGUUCGUUUGAAAGCUUACCGAGACCACCCUUUGGUGCACACCUGAGUGUGAAAGCACCCUAAGUUUAGCUUCAAAGGGCAUCUUCAACAACAGUAUUCUAUAAAAAUUAAGACUAUAUUUUUUGCAUUCCGAUUCUGACAUACAAAGGCACAACAAAACAUUUUCCUUCUUCUUCUUGUUACCGCUAUAUUUCUGCCAUCACUAUGCAUUCGCAGCUGCAAGUGACGUAACUGUGACGUCUGCUCCAAAUUGGACUAUAGGGCUGUGAAGAACAAGCUUUGGGCUUGUUGAUGGAGUCGAUCAACUCCAUCUGUGUUUUGAUCAUUGUUCUGAAUCUCAUCCGGAUGUUGAACAAAAAUGCCAAUUUUCUCAGCUUUUUGUUUAAAAUGUUGCCUUUUUUUUAUACGAAACUUACCCACUCAUUUCUUUCACAGAAAUCUGCAGUGAGCAUUUAAUCAAUAGAUACACGCCGUUAUGUGUAUUACAUUUUUGUCUAUCACAGUGUAGACUUUACAAUAAAUUUUAUUGUUUUUAUCCUGAGCUAAUGAUAUUUAUAAGCCGCCUUAAAAGAUACCAUCUUUUGUUCAAACUCUAAGGCAGUAUCACGUGUCUUUCACUGUGAAUACAAUCCCAUAAUGCAGCGCAAAAUCCUCAGUGAAACAAUCCAUAUAAUUCUGAAAAUUAUAAAACAAAAUAGUUUCAUUUUAAAAAUAGUUUAAAUAAAAGUACUCACAUUUAUUUAUUUAUUGUUUUCACCCUUAAUAAUAUUAUAUCAUCAUGAAGGGAUUCAUUAACUCUUUCAGCUCGUUUUCCUCCCUCAUAAUCACAAUCUCAAAUAAACACACAAAUGACACACAUUCUAUAAAUAGAUGUCCAGCUGUGGCGUCCUUCACAAGUUUGCCUAAUAUUGUCCAAAACUUCUUUUGAUUUUGGACAAAGGGGUCUAUAAUUCCCAAUGCAUUUUCUCCUCUAACAUUUAGUGUUUUUCAAGAAUAAUUUCUCUUUCCUCCCCUUAAAACAUUUUUUCAAAACAACAAAAAAGAACAGCAGAGAAAACUUGGAGGUAGAAAAAAAAUAAACUAAAAAAAACAUAAUAAUAGUACAAUCAUAAACAUACAAAAUGAAUAAAAAAUAAACAAAAUAAUAACAAUAAUAAUAAUAAUAAAAAUAAUAAUUAAACAAAGCUCAACUUCCCUCAUUCUUCUCUCUGCCAUCCUUCUUUGGGGGUUUAAAUAAUCAAUAACCUAAGAUUAAUACAUUUCUCUAAAUUAAACAUUUUUAUUGAAAUAAUUUAAUUCUUUUAAAUAAAUAAAUAAACUCCAAAAAUUCAAAGAGGGAAUUUAAACUCUUUAACCCUUAUUAAAUUAAAUAGUUCAUUCCACUUUUUCCCUCUUCAUCCGUAAUAAUCAUAAAAACCACUAAGUUCUCUCCUUCGUCUCCUCUUCAUCCUUCUUUAUUAAUUAUUAAGAUUAAUUUGAUUGACUAUUGACCUUAUUCCUGACUAGCGUUUCGAAUUAUGGGUUCCACUUCCGGUUUGGGGAACUUCCAUUCAAAAAGACUGAAACUAAUCGUUUCAAAUUAUAAUCAUAAGGUUGUCCUACAAAUGAGCUGUCAGUUUUUCUUUCAUGUUUUAUUUUCAGACAUCAUGAGAAUUACGUAACGCUUGGUAUUUUAACGUAACAUGUUGUAACAAGAAUAUCUAUGGCAAGAGCUCUUUUCAGUUUUCAGCAGAUGCUUUCUAUCCUCGUGAUUAUUUUCUUUUGUCCCUUUGCAUUCCACUGUAACAGUAUGAAAAAGGACAACAUAUGCUGCACAUUUGUGGUCUGUUCUCCCGAUAUAAUUUACGAUAUAUCCAUCCCAUUAGUAAUUCACUGGAAUGCACGAAGAAUCUCUCGUUUUUCUCCUCAAAACCUCAAAAGUCUCUUUCCAGGUUUGUUUUCACAGGUACAUACAAUUUAUUAAAAUGGAAAUCACUUUGAAAUAGUAUCACGCAAUGCUGAAGUUCAUGAACAUAUUUAUUAAGGCAACGUAUAUUACAUAACGCAGAUAUAUAUAUCACUAUAGUUAUGUUCAACCCGUCCGUUAUUGCUGUGGAAAGAAUCACGCUUUUUCAUGGCCUUUUGAAAGUAAAUGGACUUUUAAAAGUGUAAAAGCAUCAACAAGGUAAUGUUCGUUGGUUGAAGGGUGAGUAGAAUAAUGUCAUCUCAUUGUACCCAGUUUAAAAAUAAAAUGCAUUACUACGUUCAUAGAGCAAGUAUAUCACUGACUGUCUACAGCUUAACGGAAGUUACUCCCAUAAUUCGCGCAAAGCGUCAUGGGGCGUAGGAAUAAGGUGGAUAUAUUUUCUAAUUGAUCAGUUUUUUGCAGAUGAUAAACUCAAAAACAUUCCAUAGAAUUUUACUGACAGAAUUCAAACUCCAACUGAAACUUCAACUGUCAAAAAAUUCAAACAUAAACACACACACACACACACACACACACACACACACACACCUAACACACCUUGUCACUUCAGAGUCAUCUGCUCUCUGGUGUCAAGAAACUGUCUUUCUACUGUCUCCAUCAGUUUAUAGUUGUGAUGUCCACCAUAUGAUGCAUGAUAGAAACACAAGACGAGAUGAAUAUACAAACUCUUGUCAGACUUCACUCAACAGAAGCUCGCUAAGCAUACAGACAAAACCAAACAAACCCAGAGCAUGGAUCGAAAACAGACCUCAAUAAUAGAUCAAAGAUGUCUGCUGUGCUGUUAUACAACAAUAGUGAAG
This is a long non-coding RNA of Megalobrama amblycephala (Wuchang bream), 3183 nucleotides long. RefSeq lists it as uncharacterized. The record is from RefSeq and is a predicted model, not a curated record. Lineage: Eukaryota; Metazoa; Chordata; Actinopteri; Cypriniformes; Xenocyprididae. The transcript has 2 exons.